UUUGCCUGUGGAAAGGGGAGUGGAGUUAAAGUGGGAGCUAGAGAACUUAAGAGAUUCUAAGUCCUGAAGAAUCAGUUGCAGAAAUUACGAUCCCUGCCCUCACCUGCUUUGGUCCAGGUUUUCGUCAUAUGCUGUCUACAGUAUUAUCACUGUCUAGAUUGGUUUCUAUUGUUGAUCCACAGUUCUUUUUAUCAGUUGAGGUACUGCAAAGUGCACCAAUUUUAAAUGUACAGUCCAGUGAAUGUUGACUUGGAUGUACACCCCUGUGAGCUCCACCAUGCAUCUCCAGCACCUCCAAAAGGCUGCCUCAUCCCCUUCCUUGUCAACACCAAACCCCCAAAAGGAUGAACUACUCUAACUUCUACCACCUUCGACUGCUUUUGUCAUCUUGAAUGUAAUUGAAUAAAACAGUAUAUACUUUUUGGUACCUGGUUUCUUUGCUCAACAUAGGGCAGUGAGAUUCAUUGACUCUGUGGCAUAAAACAGUAACUUACUCUUUUGUAUUGCUGUGUGAUAUUCCAUUAUAUGAAUAUAUUACAGUUUGGUUAUUCAGCCCUCUGUGGAUGGACUUUUAGGUGGUUGUCAGUUUUUGGUUAUUGUGAUAAAGCUGC
Long non-coding RNA from Cebus imitator (Panamanian white-faced capuchin), 611 nucleotides. RefSeq lists it as uncharacterized. The transcript is spliced from 2 exons. The record is from RefSeq and is a predicted model, not a curated record. NCBI's taxonomy places the organism in Eukaryota, Metazoa, Chordata, Mammalia, Primates, Cebidae.